This 708-nucleotide ribosomal RNA is filed under the name uncultured bacterium. RNAcentral's name for it is "bacterial SSU rRNA". It matches the Rfam family "Bacterial small subunit ribosomal RNA", at positions 48 to 724 of the family's 1533-position model. The record is from RNAcentral.
CUAAUACAUGCAAGUCGAGCGCGGGAAGCAGACUGAAGCCUUCGGGCGGACGUCUGUGGAACGAGCGGCGGAUGGGUGAGUAACACGUGGGCAACCUGCCUGUAAGCUCGGGAUAACUAGCGGAAACGCUAGCUAAUACCGAAUAACGCUGCGCACCGCAUGGCGCGCAGAUGAAAGGCGGCGCAAGCUGCCACUUACAGAUGGGCCCGCGGCGCAUUAGCUAGUUGGUGGGGUAACGGCCUACCAAGGCGACGAUGCGUAGCCGACCUGAGAGGGUGAUCGGCCACACUGGGACUGAGACACGGCCCAGACUCCUACGGGAGGCAGCAGUAGGGAAUCUUCCGCAAUGGACGCAAGUCUGACGGAGCAACGCCGCGUGAGUGAUGAAUGUCUUCGGAUUGUAAAACUCUGUUGUUAGGGAAGAACAGGUACCGUUCGAAUAGGUCGGUACCUUGACGGUACCUAACCAGAAAGCCCCGGCUAACUACGUGCCAGCAGCCGCGGUAAUACGUAGGGGGCAAGCGUUGUCCGGAAUUAUUGGGCGUAAAGGGCGCGCAGGCGGUCUUCUAAGUCUGAUGUGAAAGCCCACGGCUUAACCGUGGAAGGUCAUUGGAAACUGGGGGACUUGAGUGCAGAAGAGGAGAGUGGAAUUCCAUGUGUAGCGGUGAAAUGCGUAGAGAUAUGGAGGAACACCAGUGGCGAAGGCGA